CCGUCCAAAAGGACAUAAGAUCCCUUGCAGAGUACAAGGUAGAUAGGGCAGGGAUGUAAGCACAGCAAUGUGUUCAGUUGACUGUCACUAAUCGAUCGA
Molecule: non-coding RNA, 99 nt
Filed under: Shuttleworthella satelles DSM 14600
Lineage: Bacteria; Bacillati; Bacillota; Clostridia; Lachnospirales; Lachnospiraceae
Description: Shuttleworthia satelles DSM 14600 Bacterial large subunit ribosomal RNA
Rfam family: Bacterial large subunit ribosomal RNA
Source: Rfam by way of RNAcentral